GACAGAGGCCUCGAGCGUUAGGCGGAAUCACUGGGCUUAAAGCGUGUGUAGGCGGAUCGUUAAGUGUCUUGUGAAAUCCCACGGCUCACCCGUGGAACUGCUGGGCAUACUGGCGAUCUUGGGCCAACUAGGGGCAACUGGAACAAGCGGUGGAGCGGUGAAAUGCGUAGAUAUCGCUUGGAACGCCAAAGGUGAAAACAGGUUGCUGGGGUUGUGCCGACGCUGAGACACGAAAGCCAGGGGAGCAAACGGG
Molecule: ribosomal RNA, 253 nt
Filed under: uncultured bacterium
Lineage: Bacteria
Description: partial 16S ribosomal RNA
Rfam family: Bacterial small subunit ribosomal RNA
Source: RNAcentral